AAUUCAAAUCAAAAUAAAAUUUCGAUUCAAUUUUUUGAUUUAAAUCAAAAUAUGCCCCACACUACUGAUGUAUGCCUAUGCCUGUAAUUACGGUGCAAAUACAAAAUUCACCCUUCCUCACAGUUCACUCACAUAUCUUCAAAAUAAGGUACACAUACCACACAAACCCGUAUUCACAAAAUUCAUCUUUUACACACACUAAACAUCCCCAGUUGAAAAAAAAUAUGCACAGCUUCACAUCUCACACGCAAAUACACAUCAAAAUGUAAAUCAGUGAACGGAGAGAAUUGAGAAGAGGAGGAAAACAGUGUUAAUUGACCACUCCCCGGAAAAUCCAUUAAAAUCAACCCCCGUGGUUGAUUCCAGUGAAACCCACCGGAAAACUCUCAAAUAUUCUUCAACUGGCAAACUGACUCCCCAUCGGCGCUAUUCCGGCGAAUUGUCGCCGAAAAUCUCCCUCAAAUCUCGCCGGAAUCCGCUUCUAUGCCGGCGUCGCACCCCUCUCCCCUCUCCAGCGCCAGAUCUGGCCAGAACCACCACCACCGACGAAGCCCCAUGGCUGCCGCCCCUUUCCCGUCGUUGGUGAACCCCCCUCUCCCCAUUCCCGGCGAAACCAGUCGGUAACCAAUUCAAAACCGGCGACCCACAGCCCGCACACACCAAUCUGCGCACAAACCCACCGAAAAAUGUACGCACGCAUUGAUUUACGCACUGCUACACAUAUAUACAGUGAUCAACGCACAUAGUAACACAUACAUACAGUAAAACGAUGGGAAUCGAAAUGAACAAAUUUUGUUAAUUAUUCUUGAAUUAUAUUGGAUGAAAUUUGUUUUCUUAACGAUGAUGUUGGUAACUUUGGGCGGUUUAGUGGUUCCACAGUGUAAUGUGUGAAAGGGAAAUUUUAUUUUAAAAGUAGAGUUGUUGCUAGUAGAUAUUAAUCUUUAGGCAUUUAAAAGUGAUUUUUAUUUAUUUCUAUUCAUUGUCAUUAAUA
Molecule: long non-coding RNA, 991 nt
Filed under: Capsicum annuum
Lineage: Eukaryota; Viridiplantae; Streptophyta; Magnoliopsida; Solanales; Solanaceae
Description: long non-coding RNA (CANN_LNC011836)
Source: RNAcentral